CAGUCGCCGCGGUAAUACGAAGGGGGCUAGCGUUGCUCGGAAUGACUGGGCGUAAAGGGUGCGUAGGCGGUUUGACAAGUCUUGUGUGAAAUCUAUGGGCUCAACCCAUAGUCUGCAUAGGAAACUGUAGGGCUUGAGGGUGGGAGAGGUGAGUGGAAUUUCCGGUGUAGCGGUGAAAUGCGUAGAUAUCGGAAGGAACACCUGUGGCGAAAGCGGCUCGCUGGACCAUUACUGACGCUGAUGCACGAAAGCUAGGGGAGCAAACAGGAUUAGAUACCCCCGUAGUCCCUGUCUCUUAUAC
This 301-nucleotide ribosomal RNA is filed under the name uncultured bacterium. RNAcentral's name for it is "partial 16S ribosomal RNA". It matches the Rfam family "Bacterial small subunit ribosomal RNA", at positions 509 to 807 of the family's 1533-position model. The record is from RNAcentral.